CGGUGCAGGUCCACGUCUGGGGUCGAGCCAGCCGCAUCAAGGCAGGUGCAGCUCGCCUGGGAGACGGGUGAGACAGUACGGGAGAGGCUGCGAGGAGGAUGGUGCAUCCUGGUGGCGAGCCUCCCGGCCGAGGGUCCAGCAACACUCGGAGCCUAAAGGCCUCAUGCAAGCGGAACAAAUGUGCAGCAGUUGGACCCGAACGGCCCCUGAUUUAACCCCCGCUGGGAUCUUUCUGCACAUAGUUUGGAUGUUCUCCACUUAAAGAGUUCUCCACAAAUCUGGAAAACAAGAUGGUCCAGCUUCCUCCCACAGUUUACGAGUGAUGUUAUCUCUACUGUUGCCCGUAAAUGCUCUAAAUGAGCGGAGGAGAGAGUUUGGUGUCCAGGAGAGAGAUUCAAUCGUUCCCAAACCAGCCGGGAGAUGUGAUCUCAGUCCCAGUGAGUCCCGGCUCGGCCCUCAGGCCUCUCCUCCUCCUCUUGGGAGGCUCCUGAGAGGAAACCCUGACGACGACCCCAGCGGCGCUGCUUCCCCGAGCCCCUCACCCUGUUCCCAACGAGGAUCCACCCUUGAUAGGAGCUCAUUUCAGCAGCCCUGCGGUAUCUAAGAGCGGGUAAACUGAAUUUAAUGACUCAGACUUCCCUUCAACAGGACAGACGUCUCAUGUGUCACUCCUGCAAACAAAACUCAAGAAAAGCCCAAACCCUUCGGCUUACUCCCGGUUUGAAGACGCCAAGGCAUCUGCAAGGAAGCUUUUCCAUUGCGUAGAUCUCCUCCAUAAUGUCCAUCCAAUGUCCUGUUUGUGGAGCGUCACUUUUCAACCAGUUUCUUGUAAUGGCCUUCUUAUAGACAAGUUUACCGGCCGUUUCCGCUCUACUUCCUAAACUCCUCCCCUCUAAGCAGUUUACUUCCGUUUUGGGGUUUUUCCAUUGAAAACAGUGGCAACAUUGCUCUGACAAAGAGGGACAAAAUGGAUAUUUCUAAGAAAAAAAGUGGUUCGGGAACGACAUGUCUCGGCAGUUGGAUGUAAGAACUCGAGGGAGCACCUGAAGGAGUGGUUGGAUAGAUAGAGCUGCAACCACAAACCAGCUUCAAAGAGACACGUCCAUGCGCUCUGUUGUUUACCUUUUUUCUGAAGCCACGGACCGGGCUGGAGGCUUUACAUCUAAAAAACCACCGCGCAACAUUUUUGUUUGUUCACACCACUUUGUUGACAAAAAAACAACAAAGGAUAAUCCAUUCCCUGAGUUGUGGUUGGUUUAUAAUCGCUCUCCCCAGCCAGAAAGGAGUAACUCAGCCGGCGGAUCCGCUGCCUCCCCCGGAGAAACAAACACGGAUCUGAGGAUGGUCCUGAAACCUGUCACCUGAGGCCGAGCCUGCUACACAAGUGAUGUUGUUCAUUAAAUAAAGAUAAACA
Molecule: long non-coding RNA, 1414 nt
Organism: Cololabis saira (Pacific saury)
Lineage: Eukaryota; Metazoa; Chordata; Actinopteri; Beloniformes; Belonidae
Exons: 3
Source: RefSeq, a predicted model, not a curated record